CAAGUCGUGGGGCAGCAGGGGCGUAGCAAUACGCUCGCUGGCGACCGGCAAACGGGUGCGGAACACGUACACAACCUUCCUUUAAGUGGGGAAUAGCCCGGGGAAACCCGGAUUAAUACCCCGUAAUAUAAUGAAGUGGCAUCGCUUUAUUAUUAUAGCUCCGGCGCUUGAAGAUGGGUGUGCGACUGAUUAGGCAGUUGGCGGGGUAACGGCCCACCAAACCUACGAUCAGUAACUGGUGUGAGAGCACGACCAGUCACACGGGCACUGAGACACGGGCCCGACUCCUACGGGAGGCAGCAGUAAGGAAUAUUGGUCAAUGGACGCAAGUCUGAACCAGCCAUGCCGCGUGGAGGAUGAAGGUCCUCUGGAUUGUAAACUUCUUUUAUCUGGGAAGAAAUCCACGAAUUCUUUUGUGGUUGACGGUACCAGAUGAAUAAGCACCGGCUAACUCCGUGCCAGCAGCCGCGGUAAUACGGAGGGUGCAAGCGUUAUCCGGAUUCACUGGGUUUAAAGGGUGCGUAGGUGGGUUGGUAAGUCAGUGGUGAAAUCUCCAGGCUUAACUUGGAAACUGCCAUUGAUACUAUCAAUCUUGAAUACCGUGGAGGUCAGCGGAAUAUGUCAUGUAGCGGUGAAAUGCUUAGAUAUGACAUAGAACACCAAUUGCGAAGGCAGCUGGCUACACGAAUAUUGACACUGAUGCACGAAAGCGUGGGGAUCAAACAGGAUUAGAUACCCUGGUAGUCCACGCCCUAAACGAUGGAUACUCGACAUACGCGAUAUACUGUGUGUGUCUGAGCGAA
Molecule: ribosomal RNA, 803 nt
Filed under: uncultured Sphingobacteriales bacterium
Lineage: Bacteria; Pseudomonadati; Bacteroidota; Sphingobacteriia; Sphingobacteriales
Description: bacterial SSU rRNA
Rfam family: Bacterial small subunit ribosomal RNA
Source: RNAcentral